Molecule: ribosomal RNA, 557 nt
Filed under: Bifidobacterium longum subsp. suillum
Lineage: Bacteria; Bacillati; Actinomycetota; Actinomycetes; Bifidobacteriales; Bifidobacteriaceae
Description: bacterial SSU rRNA
Rfam family: Bacterial small subunit ribosomal RNA
Source: RNAcentral
UUUUCUCCUGGAAACGGGUGGUAAUGCCGGAUGCUCCAGUUGAUCGCAUGGUCUUCUGGGAAAGCUUUCGCGGUAUGGGAUGGGGUCGCGUCCUAUCAGCUUGACGGCGGGGUAACGGCCCACCGUGGCUUCGACGGGUAGCCGGCCUGAGAGGGCGACCGGCCACAUUGGGACUGAGAUACGGCCCAGACUCCUACGGGAGGCAGCAGUGGGGAAUAUUGCACAAUGGGCGCAAGCCUGAUGCAGCGACGCCGCGUGAGGGAUGGAGGCCUUCGGGUUGUAAACCUCUUUUAUCGGGGAGCAAGCGAGAGUGAGUUUACCCGUUGAAUAAGCACCGGCUAACUACGUGCCAGCAGCCGCGGUAAUACGUAGGGUGCAAGCGUUAUCCGGAAUUAUUGGGCGUAAAGGGCUCGUAGGCGGUUCGUCGCGUCCGGUGUGAAAGUCCAUCGCUUAACGGUGGAUCCGCGCCGGGUACGGGCGGGCUUGAGUGCGGUAGGGGAGACUGGAAUUCCCGGUGUAACGGUGGAAUGUGUAGAUAUCGGGAAGAACACCAAAUG